Long non-coding RNA from Malania oleifera, 1207 nucleotides. RefSeq lists it as uncharacterized. The transcript is spliced from 2 exons. The record is from RefSeq and is a predicted model, not a curated record. NCBI's taxonomy places the organism in Eukaryota, Viridiplantae, Streptophyta, Magnoliopsida, Santalales, Ximeniaceae.
GAAGGAUAUUCUCGCUGGCUGUGCGGUUCAACAUUGACUUGGAGAUUUCUGGCUUUGCUGCACUCAUGCCCACAUCCUUACCCGCACAUACGGAGGGGUUAUUGAUGGAUUGUGCUCUAGUUGGUUGGUGGAUUGGGCUCUGAGUCUUGCACAACUUGCUUCUGCCACUGCUAUUUUUUUUGAGUUUGUUGGAUUCAGGCACAGCUUCUGAGUUUUGACAUGUUUAUUUUACUCUAAUUGAAAUUUUAUUAAGGUUCUUUAUCCCGCACUUUGCUUAAUUAUUAACAUUGGAGCUGUUCUAGAACUGUUUGCAAAAGGGAUUGAAAAAGCUAAAAAAGUAUUCCUCAUCUCCCUUCCGUCUAGCGCAAACUAUCAAUGAACAUCAAUGCGGAAGUACCGCCAAGAGAGAAAUUGGAAGAUUAAUAGAGGAAGAAGGAAGGAAGAACUGAAGAACAGAAAAGAGAGGAGGACGAAGAUAGGGGGACUUGGGGGGGGGGGGGGGUGAUGCUCAUGUUCAACUUAAUACAAAUUCACAUUAACCACCAACGACAAUGCAACCUGCUAGUAUAUACAGGGAAACUAAUAAACCCUUAACAUGAUGCUUGUUAAUCAGCCUCCUUCAAGAGUCCAUCGAUUGCCCUGCUGCUUGUUCUAUGCCACUUACCUAAGCAAAAUAUGUUGCAAUAUUGCUUUUCUAGUAAUAGUUGGUAAUAUCGUAAUAUAGUCACUGUUAAGUGUUCACUUGUUUUUGGAAUAAGAAAUCUGGUUAAUUGAGUGCUUUAGAAGCCAAGGCUGUGCUUGACAGCAACAAGGCCUGAAGGAAAGCGGUGCAUCCGAAUUAAAUGCGUAACAUUAGCAUGUUAAGCCAAACACAGUUCCUCAACCUUGUAUUAUGUGAACUUUUUUUAGUGGGGAAUGCGCCAUCAUCAAUAAUGAUCUCUCUCUCUCUCUUAUUUUUUUUUUGUAGUUGUAUAUGCACUCAUCAAAUGGAUUACUUUUUAGAUGGACAAGAAUUGGGUUUGAGCGUGGCAGAGAUGCCAAGAGAUACCAUCUUCAAGAAUGAUAUUUAAAUUUUUUUGUUCCCUCAUAUUUCUAAGAAAAAUGUAAAUUAGGUGGGGAAGAACGUCGGGCAAAGAGGGUUGGGAAGGGGAUGAAAAAGUUUGAAUGUUUCUUGGAUAUGAUAAUUGAACAAAUUAUUUUUAUAAUU